This 253-nucleotide ribosomal RNA is filed under the name uncultured bacterium. RNAcentral's name for it is "partial 16S ribosomal RNA". It matches the Rfam family "Bacterial small subunit ribosomal RNA", at positions 524 to 776 of the family's 1533-position model. The record is from RNAcentral.
UACGUAGGUGGCAAGCGAUACUCGGAAUCACUAGGCGUAAAGCGCAGGUAGGCGGUUUGGUAAGUCUUUUGUGAAAGCUCCCGGCUCAACUGGGAGAGGUCAAGGGAAACUACCGGACUAGAGUGUGGUAGGGGAUACUGGAAUUCCUGGUGUAGCGGUGAAAUGCGUAGAUAUCAGGAGGAACACCGGUGGCGAAGGCGGGUCUCUGGGCCGUAACUGACGCUGAGGAGCGAAAGCGUGGGGAGCGAACAGG